ACAAAUGUUUUAAAUGCUACACUUAUGAUCCAUCAACUUUGUCUUGCUCACUAUGCUUAAGGUUAGAGAAGAACAAAUACACUUUUGGUUCUGUUGGUGUUUUCCACCAACAGGGCCCAUGCACUUGAUCUCUGCCUUGUCUCUAUGAGCAGGACACAUUUUGAGAAACGUGAAGGCGUUUUACAACUCCCAGAUUCCAUCAAGUGAAGAACCGGGAUCUACGAGCACAAACACAAUGGAGAUCAGACACUUAGUUUCCCAAAGGAAAUAUUGAAGAACCUCUGUGUCCGAGUUGGUACCUUGUACACUCCAGCAAACUUCGUGGUGAUAGAGACUGGUACUGUGGAGAGGGGACCCAUCAUCUUAGGGAGGCCAUUCCUAAACACCAGAAGUGUCAUCUACGCUAAUGCUGCCAAGAUCAGUUUCUACAUCAAGGGGGAGAAGGAGACUUUCCUUCAAGAACAAGACUACACAAAUUUCAGAGCAAUCUUGACAUGAACCAAGGAAGAGGACCAACAGGAGGAACAGGAACAAGAAAAUGUGGACCGAGUCAACUAAGAUGGUCACUGUAGCUCAAGGAGGUCAAGAUCGUCAACUCAAGUCACCUUUCUUGAUCAAGAAGGACGACCCAGGUGUUCCAAGAAUCGAAUGCACAAACAAUGGAUAAUCUUUUCAGAAGACACUCUACGACACCGGAUCUAACGACAACAUAAUGGCCGCAGUCACUUAUCAGCUCCUGCAUGGAACCAUGCUCCUACAACCAAGGUACAUUCAGUUUCAAACAAUUUUCAGGUCAGGACAAGAAGAAGACAACGCAACCGCAACCAGAGGAGGCAAAUCAUCAAGGACGGACGGGUAGACUACGAAGGAGAAGUGAUAGGACUGAAGACAUACAACUUGAACAGAACUAUCCUGAGGAGACCGUAUCACCGAGUCAGGUGUGGAAAGAGAAGAUAGUUAUACACGAAGAGGAGGCGCCGCCGGAACCACCGACUACGCCACCCAGCAAAUCCCAGGACGACUGAAAACGGAGAGUCCCGUUCGGAGGACUUAAAAAUACCGAACGCCUUGCCAAGAGGUAAACUUGAUAGUUAUCCUUUUCCUUUCAAUUAUUCAAUUAUAGUUUGCUUAGUUAAUCAGGUUCAUGCUAUCUUGAAAAGAAAAUAAAAAUGCUAAAAAUAGUAAGCCCCAUGUGAGUAUGCUCAUGGCAUAAGACCCAUAGGUACAUUGACUGUGGUGGCAUCAAAAUAAAAUAAAUAUUUUUCUGCUUUAUAAAAACAAAAAAAAUAUAAAAACAGGGAGUAAUAUUUAUUAAGGAGUCUCAACAUGAUAAAGGCUAGAUAUUUAUGCUAAACACUUAAUUAGUUCCACAAGCUUUGUUGUCUAUUUGAGCUCCACAGAAUUUAAGAGUCAAGAAGACUAGCAGACGGAGGACAUUCUAAUCGCUGUCAAAAUACUGCUGACUUUCAAACACACCUCUGCCACCUGCUAGCUACAUCAAGAGAAAUUACGUCAAAAUUCAGCUUGGGGGAGAGCACCCCCAUUUAUCUCGAUAAGUAUUUCUAUCUAUCUUUAUACUUAUACUAUAUUAGAAUAUAAAUAUACAUAACUAUGAAAAAACAAAUAAAGAUUUUAUGCUUAUAUAUAUUUUGCUUAGUGUGUUUAAUAAAUAAAUAAAGUGGCUAUGCUAAUCUGUAUCUAAUAAAACUUAAGCAUGGAUAUCUUGAAUAGUUGCUCUGCCUAAUUUGCAAAUUUGAAGUUCUCUCUCAAGUUUAGAUAUAACUGUUAUAAUUUAAGGCUUGCUCUAGACCUAAACUUGUGGGAUGAAAACUUGAUCUGAAGUCUAAGUUGUUAACGGAUACGAUAUGGGAAGGUUGAGCUACUGUUUAUCUGUUCCUAGAGAUGCUAGAAUUCUGGAGAAUUUUAUCUUUGAAAAUCUUUAAAAUAUUGCAUGAUGAGUUCCUGUAUGAUGAGAGUUUAAAUUCCUACCACAGCCAUAUAUACAUGCUUAUUAGACCUUGAGCCACACAUUUAUUAUUUACUGCUUAUGAGCAUUCAGUGUGGUCAAGCUGUGUAGACCCUUAGGAGCUUGUCAUGUGGUUAAAUCAAGAUUUCACUUGCACGUCCACUCAUAUAUGCUACUUCUAUUCCGGAAGUACCAUCCACAUAUAUCCAUCCAUUUCUAUCUCCAGAACCAUUCAAAAAUAUUCUACUCCUAAUCCGGGAGAGAAUAACCAAAAAUAUUUCUGUCUUUCCCUUGUGAAAUAAAUGCUCAAGUUAUCUUGUUACUACCACUUGCUAUAUUAUCUCAAGAGAUGAGUGCUCUUAAAAAAAAAGAGAGAGAAGAAAAAAAAAGAAGAAAAAAUAUACGAGGAAAUAAAAAGGGGCAAGUGCCCGGAACCUCGAAGAAAAGAAAAAGUGAGACGAGAGGUAAAAAUGGACAAGUGUUCGACAGUAGAAUUAGGGGUACAAGAUACCCACCUGAGAGAAAAGAAAAAUAAGAGCAUCUCAUUCUCCUCAUAAAGUUUCAAAAGCAAGGAAGGUAUGUAUCCCCUCAAAGAGCAAAGUAGAAUUAGACUUCCACCAUUGUUAUCACUAUCAUCACCAUACAUCAUUCAUUCGCCACACAUGCACAUCUUGAUUUGGCUUAUUGAUUUGUUUCUUUGGAUCCAUGGUUUGACUAUGCAAUAAAUGUCUUGUAAGUAUGUAUAUCUCCCACCUAUGAGCUCCAGAUAUUAAAGCCUUAUUAGAGUAGGGUGAGAGAGAAGACAAUGUCACUAUGCUUCAUACCACAAAUACUACAUAUCUUGAGAGAAGGCAUAUACCAUCACUGCCUUGGUAAGGAUCCAAAAAUACCACAAAAGAGAGAUCUGAGAGAAUCAUACAAGGAAUCUCUGAGUUUUAUUUGAAAAUCUACAAAAACUCUAGAGCUAUAGCUGAUCAAGAAUAAGAGACAUGGCACUUGGCUAGACUGUUCUAUCUUUUAACCACUCAAGACAGAAGUGACAGUUAUAAGUCCCAUGGUGAAGGUAAAGUAAGUAAGUUUUAAGUCUUGACAGUUUACUCUAACUCAGAGAUGAGAUCUUAUUUAAAAAAAACAUGUGUACAUCAAUUUUUUAAAAAAAUAUUGCAACAAUUUAUGAUCCAUAGCUGAGUCUAUCCUUGCUCAGGGACGAGCAAGAGGUAAGCUUGGGGGAGUUUGUUGACGGUCCUUAAGUAUCAAAUUUAAUUAUCAAAUAAACAAAGAAAAGGAUCCAAAUGAAAUCAACAUCUAGGCUUAGGGUUUUAUCUGACAGAAUUCCACGAGUUUUGGUGUUUGUCUAUUUCUGCUGGGGGUUAUCAGGAAAUAAGGAAGAAAGGCCCACAUGUCGGGAUUACAUAGAGAUAUCAACCCACCGCGCAAUUUUCUACCAUCUAGAAGACUCCAGAAGCCACGAGACCGAAGCGGAGGCGAAACGGGGCCAGGCCCAGGGCGCCCGCCCUGAGGACCUGGGCGCCCGCCCACCUCUGGACUCCGUUCCGGACUCUCUUCGCAUACGACGUUCCACCGACCUAUUGGAUCCAGAAUAACAUAGUACCACCUCACCUAUCGACCCAAAAACACAUAGAAGGGGAGGACUAUAUAAGGAGACCCCCUCUGGCCCCUGGAGGAGACAAGAAAUUAUCAUAGAGAUUGAGGGGUGCCCUCGAAGGAAAACCUCUUCUCUAAAUAAUAUUUCUUUUUAGGCUUAGCAACCAAUGUAAAGUAGAAAUAGAUCUUCUAGUUUCUACUAGAUUGACAGAGAUAGAGUGGAGGUGUAGAUCAGAGGAAGGCCGGCCUGUCGGUGUCUACUCCGAGUUGUACCUACGGGAUCAAGUCUCCUAACCCGAGGCUUGCUUCUAAGAUUCUUCAGUAAUUCGACUUCUAAUACUAGUAAGUUCUUGUUUUAUUGUUCUUUGGUUUAUGAGUUUACUUUAAUCCUCUUCCG
Molecule: long non-coding RNA, 3968 nt
Filed under: Sorghum bicolor (sorghum)
Lineage: Eukaryota; Viridiplantae; Streptophyta; Magnoliopsida; Poales; Poaceae
Description: long non-coding RNA (SBIC_LNC014478)
Source: RNAcentral